RNAcentral lists this unclassified non-coding RNA (253 nucleotides) under Hevea brasiliensis (rubber tree). The record is from RNAcentral. Lineage: Eukaryota; Viridiplantae; Streptophyta; Magnoliopsida; Malpighiales; Euphorbiaceae.
AGACAUGACUUGGUUCACUUUUGUGAUAUUGUGGUCUAUAUUUUUGUGAUAUCAAUAUUUUGAAGGCUUUGCAAACUUCUUCAAUUCUGUUAUUUUCUAACCUUUGCAAGUCAUUUUUUCAGCACUAGAGGAAACAAUUGAAGCACACGAACUGAACUUGUAAAACUAGGAGCUGCCUUAAUUCCUUUUCGGGGUGCCUUAGAGCUACUUAGCUCUGAUGAUGCGCCAGGGCCAGUCCUGCAGAGAAUGGUGC